Molecule: long non-coding RNA, 3023 nt
Organism: Xenopus laevis (African clawed frog)
Lineage: Eukaryota; Metazoa; Chordata; Amphibia; Anura; Pipidae
Exons: 2
Source: RefSeq, a predicted model, not a curated record
AGGCUACUCAAUGGUCAAUCACAGCACUUAUUUGGUACCUCCAGGAACAUUUUUCAUGCUUGUGUUGCUCCCCAACUCCCUUUACAUCUGAAUGUUGCUCACAGUCAUUUAAAAGUGUACAAUAUGUGAUUAUACCCAUUUCAGCGGCAAUUGCUUUUAAAUGCAAGAAUAUAAAAUAUGCAUCAACACAGCAUAGGAGCAGCUGGCUGGGCCAGAAGCUGGAGUUUCACACUAUUAGCCUGUUUGGGGGGGGGGUGGAUUUUCUACAAGCUGAACACUGCUUUCAAGAAAUAAACAUUACUACACUAUGCUAAAGCAUAAAUGACUAUUUGGAUAUUUUGUAUAUUGGAUUUUUCCAUGUAAUUGGCCUAUUAUCUGUGGGGGAUGAUCAGUAACACCAAAAAAUAUAAGUGUCUCAUAUGCAUUUAAAUACUGGUAAAAAUAUUAGAGUAAUUUAGGACCUCAACCACAGCUGAGGUCAUGCAAGAAUGGACAUUGUCGUGCAAAUUGAUGAUACCAAUUAAAUGUGCUUGCAUCUAUAGUUGUACUCAUUUCAUGCACAAGUAUGUCUAUUGAGGCUUGGGAAGCCUGGAGCUAUUGGCACCUCCAAGCAGAGGGGUUUUUGCCAUGAGGCAAGAUGCAGACAGCAGCUCCCCAGAAGUUACCAGGGACGACAAAAAGCAAACAGUUAUUAAACCGGAAAUUCGGCUUUUCUAUCGCAGAUAUCGAUAUUUCGCACUCUGCGCUAGCGAUGUGCCCCCCCCACGGACCCCGUCGGUGAUCUUAAGGUUAAAAGCAAACAUCGUCCAGACGCGUUUCGUAUCAACGAUAAGUAGUCAUAGGCAAAGCCAGAUUACAUUAAGAAAAAAAUGUUUCUUUUGUAUUGUGUGUGUAUAAACUGAACAUGGAGAAAAGAAAGAAAACUGAGAGCCAAGGCAAUGACCACCAGAAGCAAAAAGCUCAUGGUAAUGGUUAAAGACAUAACUCUGGACAGUUAUGAGUUGUGACCUAAAUCGCAUUGACACUUGUCACAAGAUCUGAAAUAUGCAGUUGGGAGAAGUCAUCCGCUAAAUCAUGGAGACCUUAUAGCAGUUGCAAAAUGUCAUUGUUUGUCAAAAAAUAGCUUGAUUUUAGCAAUUUGUGUUGCCAAAUAUUACAUCUAAGGUGUCACCGAUUUUAUCUAAAGUUUUGUAAUUUUAUCACAGCUUUGUAAUUUUAAUACUGAAAUGUUUUAUUGGUUUUAUAAACAUAAAAAGUAUACUUACAUAACCAUGUAAGGGUAGUAAUGAAAAACAAAAAAAAAGCGGAAAAGAAAAUUGUGGCGGCUUGGUUCCUUUCAUUAUUAUACAAGUAUAAAUAUAAUUGUUAGGACUCAUUAUUGGACCUUUUUGAUCUAGAAGUAUCAAUAAUAAAAAGUUCAUACAUGCAUGGCAGAAAAGAGUCAAAAGGAGUCAUUCUCGUAAGCUAACCAAGGGAGCCAUAUUUUGUCGUAGGCCUCCAUAUCAUUGUGUAGCAUAUAUGUCAUUUUUUCAUUGGCUGCUAUAAUUUUGUCUAUAAUUUUUGCCUUGAGCAUAGUCAGAGGUAGGGUGGCUUUUUUCCAGUUGCAUGCGAUUAUAAGUCUUGCUGCCAUUAAAAUAUGCUGAGAUAUUCUAUGGGCAGGAUUGUUAAAAUUGUUGGGCUUUUUUCCUAGGAGCAUGACAAAUGGGUCCUUUGGGAAGUUGAUAUGCAAUAUUUUGGAUAGCAGAUGUCUCACAGAAUCCCAAUACUUAGAGACCACAGUGUGUGGUGUGUAGACCCUUCCUCUUAACAUCCUCUGAAACAGUGUGGAUCGCAGGAUGGAUAACUCUUGUAUAGUCGGGUUGGUACACACGUGCUACCUCAAUUUUCUUUUAGGCUACAUUGUGACCACCGCUGGGUUGAGAUUGUUGCCUUUAAGUCCCUCUCCCAUUUGAGCAUGUACUUAUGUUUUGAAUUCUCCGUAGACAUCCAGUUUAUCAGUUUGUAAGUUAGACAAAUUCCCAAUGGUGUCAAUGGAGCCAAUGGUGCCUGUCGGCAAACUGAUUUAAAGCUUUAUGUUGUGAAUUUGUUGUUGGGGCACUUCUUGGCUUGCUUGUUCACAUAAUGAAUAAGUUGCGUGGCUCUAUAUAGUUCCUGUUGGGGAGGAUUGAACUUUUGAAUCAGUUGCGGUAGGGUUAGUGGUCUACCCUGCCAGGUCAGUGCGUCCAGUUUGCUCGCCCCAUUGCUCAGCCACCAAGCGAAUGCUCGCUUAGAAGUUCCCGGUGUAGUCAAGGUUGUUUACCAAUGGGAUUAUCAGUGAAAGAUAGGAAGAAUGUUUUUUUUUUUUCAGUUUAUUUGCCAUUAGUACAACAUGUCUGUUGUAAUUGGAGCUUUGUCAUUUUAAUAGUGAAACAAAGACUUGUGGAAACCUGUUUUUUUAAAGUUAAAACUUGUUUUGGAGAUAAUUUUAGCAUAAUUUAAGAGUACAUUUCUUUUAUUGUGUUUUGAAACUUAUUUGAAAAGUACAAAAGUACCAUUAUUUUUGGCCAUAACUAUAAUUGCAUUAUACUGUCAGUGCCUCCUUCCUAGUAUGCCUACACUUUAUAAUACUUAUUCUAUGUUUUUGCUGUUUAGCUGUAUGUUUUCAUGUAUCAUAAUGCACUACUGGUAUAAUAGGAGGAGCCACCUUGAGGGAAAAUACAGUAGCAAAAACCCAAAGCUUUCUCAACCGUUGGCUUUACCAAAUUCCAAAUUAACUUUAACUUAUUCUGCUUUACAUGGGAGCAAACAGCUCAGUUUGUGCAAAUGUUAAACAACACUGAAUUGUUGAAAUUGCUUGCCUACCUUAUACCAGUAUUCCUGUAUCACAGGGUAUUCCUAUACUAUUUGUAUACAUUUGAAGUGGGAGUACUUGGGGGCAGUUGGCAUUCGGACUUCUCCACAUAACUCUCAGAGGGGCAAUCAUCUGUACAACCCUGUUUCCAAAAAAGUUGAAUGUAAUAAAUGUAAAUAAAAAGAGAAUGGAA